This 253-nucleotide ribosomal RNA is filed under the name uncultured bacterium. Its description in RNAcentral is "partial 16S ribosomal RNA". It matches the Rfam family "Bacterial small subunit ribosomal RNA", at positions 524 to 776 of the family's 1533-position model. The record is from RNAcentral.
UACGUAGGGUGCGAGCGUUAAUCGGAAUUACUGGGCGUAAAGCGUGCGCAGGCGGUUGUGUAAGACAGGUGUGAAAUCCCCGGGCUUAACCUGGGAACUGCGCUUGUGACUGCACAGCUAGAGUAUGGCAGAGGGGGUGGAAUUCCACGUGUAGCAGUGAAAUGCGUAGAGAUGUGGAGGAACACCGAUGGCGAAGGCAGCCCCCUGGGCCAAUACUGACGCUCAUGCACGAAAGCGUGGGGAGCAAAACAGG